UACAGAGGUCUCAAGCGUUGUUCGGAUUCAUUGGGCGUAAAGGGUGCGCAGGCGGCGAGGCAAGUCGGACGUGAAAUCCCGGGGCUUAACCCCGGAACUGCGUUCGAUACUGCUUUGCUUGAGGACUGGAGAGGAGACUGGAAUUCCUGGUGUAGCAGUGAAAUGCGUAGAUAUCAGGAGGAAUACCGGUGGCGAAGGCGGCAUCCUGGACCGACAUUGACGCUGAGGCGCGAAAGCUAGGGGAGCAAACGGG
This 253-nucleotide ribosomal RNA is filed under the name uncultured bacterium. RNAcentral describes it as "partial 16S ribosomal RNA". It matches the Rfam family "Bacterial small subunit ribosomal RNA", at positions 524 to 776 of the family's 1533-position model. The record is from RNAcentral.